UACGGGGGGGGCAAGCGUUGUUCGGAAUUACUGGGCGUAAAGGGCGCGUAGGCGGCCUUCUAAGUCAGACGUGAAAUCCCUCGGCUCAACCGAGGAACUGCGUCUGAUACUGGAAGGCUUGAAUCCGGGAGAGGGAUGUGGAAUUCCAGGUGUAGCGGUGAAAUGCGUAGAGAUCAUGAGGAAGACCAGUGGCGAAGGCGGGUCUCUGGACAGUUCCUGACGCUGAGGCACGAAGGCCAGGGGAGCAAACGGG
This 253-nucleotide ribosomal RNA is filed under the name uncultured bacterium. RNAcentral describes it as "partial 16S ribosomal RNA". It matches the Rfam family "Bacterial small subunit ribosomal RNA", at positions 524 to 776 of the family's 1533-position model. The record is from RNAcentral.